This 37448-nucleotide long non-coding RNA is filed under the name Nicotiana benthamiana. RNAcentral's name for it is "long non-coding RNA (NBEN_LNC008988)". The stretch from base 21453 to 21549 matches the Rfam family "MIR6152 microRNA precursor family". The record is from RNAcentral. Lineage: Eukaryota; Viridiplantae; Streptophyta; Magnoliopsida; Solanales; Solanaceae.
AGCAGGGCCAGUCUUCAGUUAGUGCCCUCACAGCUCAGAGUUCAUCUCAUGCCCCAUCCGCUCAGGGUUCUUCUGCGCCGAGUGCACCUUCUAGUCACUACGGUACGAGGGGUUCCCUUCAGUCCCCAUUUCCAGCACCGGGCAGCUGUUAUGAGUGCGGAGAGUUUGGUCACUUGAGGAGGCAGUGCCCUCGACUCCGUGGCAAACAACAUCAGCAGAGGGGUCAGCCCUCGACUUCUGCUCCAGCUACUUCACAAUCCGCCCAGCCAGCUAAGGGUGGAGAUCAGGCAGCCAGGGUCGCCCUAGAGGUGGAGAUCGAUCAGGCAGUGGCUAUGCUCGUUUCUAUGCUAUGCCGGGCAAGACAGAUGUCAUUGCUUCAGAUGCUGUCAUUACAGGUAUUGUCUUAGUCUUCCAUGGAGACGCCUCAGUAUUAUUUGACCCCGGUUCCACCUAUUCUUAUGUGUCAUCAUAUUUUGCUCGUUAUUUGAGUAUGCCCCAGGAGUCUUUAUCUGUACUUGUUCAUGUGUCUAUCCACGUGGGCGAUAUUUUUAUUGUGGAUAGCGUGUACCGGUCAUGUGUUGAGGUUAUUUGGGGUCUAGAGACCCGAGUUGAUCUAUUGCUAUUGAGCAUGGUGGACUUUGACGUUAUUCUGGGCAUGAAUUGGUUAUUUCUGUGUCAUGCUAUUCUAGACUAUCAUGCUAAGACAGUCACUUUUGCUAUUCCGGGUGUACCGCGUAUCAAGUGGUGUGAUAUGACUGAUUAUGUUCCUAAUAGAGUGAUUUCUUUAUUGAAAGCCCAACGUAUGAUUGGGGAGGGUUGUCUGUCAUAUCUAGUUUUUGUGCGGGAUGUUGGAGCUGAGACUCCUAGCAUUGAUUCUGUUCUAGUUGUGAGGGAUUUUCCCGAUGUAUUUCCUACAGACCUGUCGGACAUGCCAGCGGAUAGAGAUAUUGAUUUUGGUAUUGACCUGGUGCGGGGCACUCGGCCCAUUUCCAUUCCGCCAUAUCGUAUGGCACCAGCGGAGUUGAAAGAAUUGAAGGAUCGGCUUUAGGAACCGGGCAUGCCACCGAACAGGGACAUUGAUUUUGGUAUUGACCUGUGUCCAGGCACUCAGCCCAUCUCUAUUCCGCCAUAUUAUAUGGCACCAGCGGAGUUGAAUGAAUUGAAGGAGAAGCUUCAAGAGCUCCUGGAUAAGGGGUUCAUUCGGCCUAGUGUGUCACCUUGGGGUGCGCCAGUUCUGUUCGUGAAGAAGAAAGAUGGAACAAUGAGAAUGUGCAUCGACUAUAGGCAGUUGAACAAAGUAACAGUAAAGAACAAGUAUCCCCUGCCUCGCAUUGAUGACUUAUUUGACCAGCUUCAGGGAGCAAGGGUGUUCUCCAAGAUUGAUCUUCGUUCGGGUUAUCACCAGUUGAAAAUCAGGGGUUCAGAUAUUCAUAAAACUGCUUUCAGGACUAGAUAUGGUCACUGUGAGUUUCUUGUUAGGUCUUUGUUCGGGUUAUCACCGGUUGAAGAUCAGGGAUUCAGAUAUUCAUAAGACUGCUUUCAGGACUAGAUAUAGUCACCAUGGGUUUUUUGUUAUGUCUUUCGGGCUGACCAAUGCCCCAGCAACAUUCAUGCAUAUGAUAAAUAGUGUAUUUCGGCCUUAUCUGGAUUCAUUUGUCAUAGUGUUCAUUGAUGAUAUUCCGGUGCACUCGCGUAGUCAGGAGGAGCACGCGCAACAUUUGCGAGUUAUAUUGCAGAGAUUGAGGGAGGAGAAGCUUUAUGCAAAGUUCUCCAAGUGUGAGUUUUGGCUCAGUUCAGUGGCUUUCUUCAGACACGUGGUGUCCAUCGAGGGUAUUCAGGUUGACCCAAAGAAGAUAGAGACGGUGCAGAGUUGGCCUAGACCUUCGUCAGUCACAGAGAUUCGUAGUUUCCUUGGGUUGGCAGGCUAUUAUCGCCGGUUUGUUCAGGGUUUUUCCUCUGUUGCAUCGCCCUUGACCAAGUUGACUCAGAAGGGUUAUUCAUUUGUAUGGUCGGACGAGUGUGAGGAGAGCUUUCAGAAGCUCAAGAUAGCUUUGACCACAGCUCCAGUAUUGGUUUUACCGUCAGCUUCAGGUUCCUAUAUGGUCUAUUGCGAUGCUUCCAGGGUUGGGAUAUGUUGUAUAUUGAUGCAGGAGGGUAGAGUUAUCACUUAUGCUUCCCUUCAGUUGAAGCCCCAUGAGCAUAGCUACCCCGUUCAUGAUUUGGAGUUAGCUGCUAUAAUACAUGCCUUGAAGAUUUGGAGGCACUACCUAUAUGCGUAUCUUGUGAGGUAUUCACCGAUCAUCGCAGCCUUCAACAUCUGUUCAAGUAAAAGGAUCUUAAUUUGAGGCAGCGGAGAUGGCUAGAGUUACUGAAGGAUUAUGAUAUUAUUAUUCUGUAUCACCUGGGGAAGGACAAUGUAGUGGCCGAUGCUUUGAGCCGAAAGGCGGUGAGUAUGGGGUGCUUGGCAUACAUUCCAGUUGAGGAGAUGCCAUUUUCAGUUGAUGUUCAGGCCUUGGCCAAUCGAUUUGUAAGACUAGAUAUAUCGCAACCCAGUCAGGUGUUGGCUUGUGUGGUUUCUCGGUCUUCCUUGUAUGACCGCAUCAGAGAGUGUCAGUAUGAGGAUUCGCAUAUGCUUGUCCUUAAGGACAGGGAUCAGUAUGAUGAUUCCAGGGAUGUGACCAUUGGAGAUAAUAGUGUGUUGAGGAUGCAUGGCCGGAUUUGCUUGCCAAAUGUGAAUGGGCUUCGAGAGUUGAUAUUGGAAGAGGUCCAGAGCUCGCGGUAUUCCAUCCAUCCGGGUGCCGCAAAGAUGCAUCAGGAUCUUAGACAUCACUAUUGGUGGCGGAUGAUGAAGAGAGAUAUUGUGGAGUAUGUAGCCGGGUGUCUUAAUUGUCAGUAGGUGAAAUAUGAGCAUCAGAGACCGGGUGGCUUGCAUCAGUAGAUGGUUAUUCCUGAGUGGAAAUGGGAGAGGAUCACAAUGGAUUUUGUUAUCGGACUCCCUCGGACUUUGAAGAAAUUUGAUGCCAUUUGGGUGAUUGUAGAUAGGCUGACCAAGUUCCCGCACUUCAUUCCGGUUUGUACUACUUAUUCUUCAGAGCGAUUGGCAGAAAUUUAUAUUCGGGAGAUUGUUCGGUUUCAUGGUGUCCGAGUUUCCAUCAUAUCAGAUCGGGGCACUCAGUUUACUUCUCAGUUUUGGCAGACGGUUCAGCGAGAGUUGGGUGCUCAGGUACAAUUAAGCACAACCUUUCACUCUUAGACGGACGGACAGUCCGAGCGCACCAUUCAUAUAUUAGAGGAUAUGUUACGCGCCCGUGUUAUUGAUUUUGGAGGGUCAUGAGAGGUUUCUACCGCUUGGAGAGUUUGCCUACAAUAACCACUAUCAGUCCAGCAUUCAUGUGGCACCGUAUGAGGCCUUGUAUGGGAGACAGUGUAGAUUUCCAGUUGGUUGGUUCGAGCCCGGUGAGGCUAGAUUUUUGGGGACAGAUUUGGUUCAGGAUGCAUUGGAGAAGGUGAAGAUGAUUCAGGAGAGACUCCGUACAGCGCAGUUGAGGCAAAAGAGUUAUGCGGAUAGGAAGGUCCGAGAUGUAUCCUAUAUGAUUGGUGAGAAGGUUUUGCUGAAGGUUUUACCCACGAAGGGAGUGAUGAGAUUCGAAAAGAAAGGAAAGUUGAGUCCGCGGUUCAUUGAAACUUUUGAAGUACUUAGGAGGAUUGGGGAGGUGGCUUAUAUGCUUGCUUUGUCACCCAUCUUGUCGAGUGUGCAUCCAGUUUUCCAUGUUUCUAUGCUCUGGAAAUAUAUUGGGGACCCGUCCCAUGUUCUGGAUUUCAGCACGGUUCAGUUAGAGGGUGAUUUAACUUAUGAUAUAGAGCCAACAACCAUUCUGGAUCGUCAGUUUCAGAAGUUGAGGUCAAAGGAUGUUGCUUCGGUAAAGGUACAAUGGAGAGGUCGACUCGUGGAGGAGGCUACAUGGGAGACCGAGCGGGAGAUGCAGAGCAGAUACCCUCACCUAUUUGAGGCUUCAGGUAUGUUUCUUGACUCGCUCGAUGACGAGCGCUUAUUUAAGUUGGGGAGGAUGUGACGACCCAACCCGUCAUCACGUGGGUUACCAUCCCGUUUCCCCUAUUUUAUGCUUCUUUAUGCUUCAUUAUGAAUGGUUUGUGUGAACGAGUUGAUUUGGAUUGAAAUGAGACACUUAGUCUCUUUAAGGAAGGCUUGUUUUGGAAAAGUCAACCGGUUGUUGACUUAUGUGCUAGGAGGCUUGGAUGUGAAUUCCGAUGAUUCGUUAGCUUCAAGGGAUGAAUUGUGACUUAGGAGUGUGAUCGGAAGUAAUUUUGGAGGUCCAAUGUAGAAUUAGGCUUGAAUUGACAAAGUUAGUAUUUUGGCGAAUUCCGGUUGGUAGGUGAGAUCAGAGAGGAAUUUGUAUCUUCGUUAGGUGAUUUGGGAUGCGUGUGUAAAAUUUCGGGUCAUUCAGAGGUGAUUUGGUUUGUUUUUUUGUCAAAUGCGUGUUUCAGAAGUUUUAGAAGAACUUAUGCUUGAAUCCGAUGUAAUUUGAUAGUUUUAUUGUUGUUUGUGGUGUUUUGAUGGUUGGAGCAAGUUCGAAUGAUGUUUUAGGAUGAGUUGACACUUUUGGUUGAGGUCCCGGGGGCCUCGGGUGAGUUCGGAUGGCUAAACGGGAAGUAUCAGACUUGGAAAUACAGCAGCAGCUGCUAGACUCGCAAAUGCGAGAAAAGGGUUCGCAUUUGCGAGUGAGGCUUCGCAUUUGCGAAAAGGCUAACCUGAGGCAGGGUUCGCAUUUGCGAGAAAUGUGUCGCAUUUGCGACCUUGGCAGGGUCCAUAAUUGCGAGCCAGAUGUCGCAUUUACGACCUUGGCAUGAGAGGUACACCUUUGCAAUUUCGAAGGUUUUGUCUCAUUUGCGAACCAGGUGUCGCAAAUGCGACAUCUAAGGGUUGUGUCCAGUUAUAAAAAAAAUUCGAACUUAGCUCGUUUCCCUCACUUCCCACUUGGCAUUGGGCGAUUUUUGAGAGCUUUUGGAUGGAGAUUGAAGAAGGUUUCUACUGGGAUUGAUUGAAGGUGAGUUCUAUGAACUAAAAACAUGAUUUAAUUGUAGAAUCAACCUAGAAAUUUAUGUAAACUUAGCAAAAAAGGGAAGAACUAGUGCUUGAGAUUUGGUAUUGCAAAUUGGGAUUUGAGGGGUCAUUUGGACUCCAAUUUUGGAAGAACUAGGGCUUGCAUUUUGGUAUUGCAAAUUGGGAUUUGAGGGGUCAUUUGGACUCUGAUUUUGGUGUUCGUUAUGUGUAGACUCGUGGCGAGAUAAGGAACCCGUUGGUAUCAGAAUUUCUGAGUUUUGAGAAGUGAGCCCGGGGCUCGUAUUUUGCUAAUUUCGAGAUUUUUGUUAUUUUGCGAUACUUUUCGAUUGGGUAUUGUUCAAUUGGCAUAUUGUGACGUAUUCGUAUUGGUUUUGAUCAGAUUUGAUGCGCGAGGAGGUCGACUUGAAAGGAAAAGGCAUAGCGAGCUAGGAUUUAUUGCCAAUAUUAUCUGGUGGUGUAUCAUAACCAGAAUUUCUUUUCCACUCACCAUGUGUCCAAAGAUUUGCGGCAAGUUAAUUUCUAAUGUCUUUUAUGUCUUUGAGUUAGAAUUUCUCCACAUCCUUUCCGAUCUUCAACAACUCUACAUACUUGAUCAGAAAUGCAACAAAAUCAGUCCUAAGAAAACUAUAAGAUAUGCAGUAAAUUAAACAAUAAAUCUAAAGUACAUAUAAAUAAUAUAAUAAAUAACAGCAUGUACGAUCCAGUUUGGUUUGAUGAUCUUUGCCACUGAAUAUCAAAUUUGUUGAAGGCAUUUCCAAAAGACUUGUGAUGUUUGUCAAACUGUGAGAACUUAAGCAAGUGGGGGACCAUACGUGCAUACAUUUUCAUGUGAUUCAUUCCUACCUAAUAUGACUCACUGUAUAUGGAAUCGUAUACAUCAAUCUUUUUCUGAUUCAAGUGCAGUACCCCCAAAAGAAAGUGUGUCACAACUAGCAAGUGGGGGAUCAUGCGUGGAUACAUUUCAUGUGAUUCAUUCCUGCCUCAUAUGGCCCACUAUAUAUGGAAUCGCACACAUCAAUCUCUUUCUAAUUGAAGUCCAAUAACCCAAAAAGAAAGUGUGUCAUAUCAUUAUCAUCUUCUAAAGGAAGCCGAAAUGGAGAAAAUAUUUUGUCAACCUCUAUCCAAGCAAUUCCACAUCUACGACCAACCCCCAUACAUAUGGUGUCAGAAACAACUGAUUAUAUCAAGCACACCAAAAGUCAUCAGUAGCAUCUUCACUUAAAUCUUUAUACACAAGCACCAUAUAGUUAUCAAAAAGAAUAUUAGUAGUUGUGCAACGAAAAUGAUGGUUGCGAGAGUGGUAGCAUUCCUUCUUUCUUAGAUAAUAUAGGGCAAUAUCAAUAUGCUUUAUAAAAAGAAAAAAAAAUAAAACAAAUCCAUUAGAUAUAAAAUAAUUUAAGAAAUAUAAAUUAAGAAUAAAGAAAAUAAAUGCCUUGUGAAUUAUCAAUCCUUAUCAUCAAGUAUAAAGCUACUAUUUGAAAGCUCAAGGAAGAAUAUUUUGCUACUGAUUUUGAUGAUACAGUUUAUAUGGAUUCUUUCUCACACUGUUAUCAUCAACACAUAUAUCAGUUUGUCCCCUGAAAAUUUUGAAAAUAUCAAAUUUAGAAGUUAGUCCUGAACUUAGUCUUUCAAGUUGAAAAGUUAAGGACAGACAAUCCUUAAAUUUGAAUUAUAGGUACAAAAGCUAAGGACACUUGGUCCUGAAGUUUGAGUUUCAAGUUCAAAAGUUAAGGACAUAUAGUCUUGAACUUAGACUUAUAAGUUCAAAUAUUCAUGACACUAUGCCCUUAACUUUGAGUUCAAAUUUCAAAACUUAAGGACUGUCUGUCCUUAACUUUGAGUUUCAAGUUCAAAAGUUAAGGACAAGAGUCCUUAUGUUUGACUUGCAGGUUUAAAAGUUAAGGACAUGCAGUUAUUAAGUUUGAAUUACAGGUUCGAAAGUUAAGGACACAUGGUCCUGAACUUUGUUUUCCAAGUUGAAAAGUUAAGGAUACUUGCUCCUUAACUUUGUAUUAAAAUUAAAAAUUUAAGGACACUUGUUCCUAAACUUAAACUUACAAUCACAGAAGUUAAGGACACUUAACUUUAGCAAUUUCAAAAUCAAUACACUUAAUCCUAAAAUUUAAAUUAUAAGUUUAGGACACAAAUUUAAGCAAUUAACAAAUAAUAAAAUACAUUAAGGGACUUACUCUUUUUUGUGACCUCUCCUUUUCUCCUUGCCCAUUCACAUUUUUCAGUAAUUUUGCACCAUCUGUGGCAUAAUGAAAAAUACACCUACGAGUAUUUGUUGAUUUUAUCCAGCCAGAACUCUUGGGAGUAUUUUCAUUGUGUGCCAUCGAUGUUCUUGUUUUGCUUUCUUGAUCAAUAGGAUAUUUCAAUAGCCAACUAGGUUUCUUGUUCCUUUUACCUCGACCAAACUCUUCUUCAACAUUUCCUUUAACCUCCACAGACAAACUGUAAUGACUCGUCCAGUUUUAUUUGGAAUUUACGUCCCGAUCCCCUAUUAAAUAUGUUUCCCAAGUUUAUUUCUGCUAUAUGGAUUUUCCGGGAUGUUCGGUUUUAAGUUUCAGAUAGUUUGGGACACUUAGUCACUAAAUAAGAGUUUAAGUGUUGAAAAGUUGACUGUAGUCGGAACAGUGUGAAGUCCAACUCGAAAUGGAAAAAUCUAAUGGUUCCAUUAUCUCCGUUAGGUGAUUUUGGGUUUAGGGGCGCGGCCGGAUUUUGCUUUGGGUGUCUGUAGCUAUUUUAGGAUUGAAAUACUGAAAGGUAAAUUUUUGAAGUUUCUGGUUCGAUAAUGAGAUUUUGAUCCGAGGGUCAGAAUAGAAUCUGAGAGUUUCAGUAGUUCCGUUAUGUCAUUUUAGAUGUGUGUGCAAAAUUUCAGGUCAUUCGGAGGUGAUUUGGUUGGGUUUUUGACCAAAAAAGUAAUUCAGCAGAUUUUUAGAAACUUAGGCUUGAAUAUGAUGAGUUUUUGGAAAUUUGAUAUUGUUUAAGGUGUUUUAAAGAUUGAUACAAGUUUGAAUGAUGUGUUAGGAUUGGUUGGCAUGUUUGGUAGAGGUUACGAAGGCCUCGAGUGUGUUUCGGAUGCUCAAUGGGUCAUUUUUGAAACUUAGGAAAUUGCAGAAAAUGGUUGCAGCAGUCAGUUCUAGUUUCCUUCUUCGCGUUCCCGGGUGGGUCCUCGCAUUUGCAAAGAGGAGCUGGGGCAGGGGGAAGGUUGUGCUUCGCGUUUGCGAAGUGCAUCCUACUUUCGCUAAGGGUUGCGAAGUGGAGCUAAAGGUUUGAGCUAUGCGUUCGCGAUGUACUGGGAAGCUGAGCUUCGUGUUCGCGAGCAAGGAGUCGUAUUCAUGUAGAAGGAAAAAUGGUCAUCGUCAAUUCGUGCUUCGUGAACGUGAGUCUUUGACCGCAUUCACGAAGAAGGAUUUUAAAUGUCUAGGCAAAAUGUUUUAAAAGGCUUGUUUGGCGAAUUUUACCCUAGUUUCCUCCAUUAUUAGGUGAUUUUGAAGAUUUUUGAAGAGGGUUGAGAGGGAUUCAAGGGGAAUCACUUGGAGGUAAUAUUUUUGACUUCAUAACUCAUUUUUAUGUGAUUAAAUACCUAAUUAGUGAUGAGAAAUUUGGAAAAAAUAGGUAAUUAGGGCUUGAGUUUAAGAGGCCUUUAAUGAGGAUUUGAGAGGUCACUUGGACUCUGAUUUCAGUGUUCUUAUUAUGUAUAGACUCGUGAGAGUACGAGGUUCGCGAAAAUGUAAAUUUCACCCGAUUCCAAGAUGUGGGCCUGAGGGGCAUUUCGGUCAUUUUACCUAAUUUUGUAUAUUAGCUCAGAAUUUAAUUGUGGAAUUAGUUGCUUGAAGUGUUAUUUACAAUAUUCAAUUGAAUUGAAUAGAUUUGGGAUACUUGAAGUUGAGUACUCAUGGCAAAGGCGUGAUUUCGGGUUGAUUUGAGCUUGUUUAAAACCAUUCCGAAACACCAGAAGACAUCAAAAAAUACCAGAUUUCUAAGUCUAAAACCAUUCUGAAACACAUCUGAAACACACCCUAACCCUCUGGGCACCUAACCAAACACUUGUACUAACUCAACAAUAUAAUACGAACUUAUCUGUGCGAUCAAAUCGCCAAAAUGACCUAAAAAAAAAAUCAAACCACAAAAUUAAGAACUUUUCUCUCAAACUUCAUCUCGUUUCAAAUUAAGAAAUUCAAGUCUGAAUCGCGUCAAAAUUCAUUUCUCGGGUUUGGGACUUCGAAAUUUGAUUCCGGGCAUAUGCCCAAGUCCCAUAUUUUUCUACAGAUUCUCCAAGGCCGUCAAAAGACGGGCCCUAGUCCUUUUUCCCAAAACAUCGAUUGAAGCUAAAUUUAUUCAUUUUAAAAUCAAAACUUAGCAUUUUUCAUAGAAUUUUAUAUUUAAGCUUUUCGGCUAACCGAACUGCGCAAGCAAAUCGAGGAAACUCUAACUGUGGUUUUCAAGGCCUAGGAGACACAGAAUUCAAUUAAAAAUAGGUGAUGACCUCUUUGGGUCGUCAUAUUCUACACCUCUAAAACUUACGUUCGCCCUCGAACGAACAGAAGAAAGAAGUACCUGAGUCGGGGAAAAGAUGAGGAUAACGGCUCCGCAUAUCGGACUCGGACUCCCAGGUCGAUGCCUUAGGAGGCUGACCUCUCCACUGAACACGAACAGAAGGAAAACUCUUCAACCUCAACUGACGAACCUGCCGGUCUAGGAUAGCCAUCAACUCCUCCUCAUAAGACAAGUCCUUGUCUAAUUGGAUAGUGCUAAAAUCUAACACAUGGGAUGGAUCACCAUGAUACCUCCGAAGCAUGGAUACAUGAAACACUGGAUGCACGGCUGACAAGCUCGACGGCAAUGCAAGUCUAUAAGACACCUCUCCCAAUCGAUCAAGAAUCUCAAUGGACCAAUGAACCUAGGCUAAUCUUGUCCUUCUUCCCAAAUCUCCUCACACCCUUCAUAGGUGAGACUCGGAGCAAUACCCGCUCAACAACCAUAAAAGCCACAUCUCGAACCUUGCGGUCUGCAUAACUCUUCUGCCUGGACUGAACUGUAUGAAGCCAACCGUGAAUGAUCCUGACCUUGUUCAAGGCCUCCUAAACCAGAUUCGUACACAGCAACCGAGCCUCUCCCGGCUCAAAUCAUCAGACCGGGGAUCGACAUUGCCUACCAUAUAGAGCCUCAUAAGGAGCCAUCUGGAUACUCGAUUGAUAGAUAUUGUUGUAUGCAAACUCUGUUAAAGGUAAAAACUGAUCCCAUGAACCUCCAAAGUCAAUUACACAAGCUCGGAGCAUAUCCUCCAAAAUUUGAAUAGUUCGCUCCGACUAACCGUCCAUCUGGGAAUGAAAUUUUGUGCUGAACUCAACCCGUGUACCCAACUCUCGCUGAACUGCUUUUCAGAAGCACGAGGUAAACUGCGUACCCUGAUCCAAAAUGAUAGAUACAGGCACACCAUAAAGGCUAACAAUCUCUCGAAUAUAGAUCUCAGCUAACCUCUCAGAAGAAUAGGAGAAUACCACAGAAAUAAAAUGCGCUAACUUGGUCGGCCUAUCAACAAUAACCCAAACUGUGUCGAACUUCUUCUGAAUUCUCUGAAACAAACCACCAGGCCUCUAAUGGUCAUACUUAACUUGCUGACAAUCCAAACACCGAGCCACAAAUGCAACAAUAUCCUUCUUCAUUCUACGCCACUAAUAAUGUUUUCACAAGUCCUGAUACAUCUCCGCGACGCCCGGAUGAAUAGAGUACUUGGAGCUAUGGGCCUCCUCUAAAAUCAACUCUCGAAGCCCAUCCACAUUAGGUACACAAACUCGCCCAUGCAAUCUCAAAACUCCAUCAUCAUCUAAGGUAACCUGCUUGGCAUCUCCACGCUGCAUCGUGUCUCUAAGGACACACAAAUAAGGAUUAUCAAAUUGUCGAUCAUGGAUACGCUCCAAAAGUGAAGAACGAGCGAUCGUGUAAGCUAAUACUCGACUAGGCAUAGAAAUAUCCAACCUCACAAAUCUAUUGGCCAAAGCCUGAACAUCCAAAGCAAGCAGCCUCUCACUGACCAGAAUGUAAGCAUGACUGCCCAUACUAGCUGACUUUCUACUCAAGGCAUCGGCCACCAUAUUGGCCUUUCUAGGGUGAUAUAAGAUAGUGAUAUCAUAAUCCUUCAAUGACACCAACCACCUCCUCUGCCUCAAAUUCAACUCCUCUUGCUUGAAUAAAUACUUAAGCCUCUUGUGGUCAGUGAACACCUCACAUGCCAUGCCAUACAGAUAGUGCCUCCAAAUGUUCAAUGCGCGCAAAAAUGGUUGCCAACUCUAAUUCAUGAACCAAAUAGUUCUUCUCAUGAAUAUUCAACUACCGUGAAGCACUUGCCAUCCUGUAUCAACACUACCCCAAGGCCAAUACGGGAAGCAUCACAAUAAACUGUAUAAGGUCCUAAACCUGUGGGCAAAACAACACCGGUGCCGUAAUCAGAGCUGUCUUGAGCUUCUGAAAGCUCGUCCCACACUCAUCCGACCAUCUAAACUGGGGACCCUUCUAGGUCAACCUGGUCAUCGGAGCUGCAAAAGAUGAAAACCCCUCUACAAACCGAUAAUAGUAGCCUGCCAAUCCCAAGAAACUCCGAAUCUCUGUAGCUGAUGCUGGUCUAGGACAGUUCUUCACUGCCUCAAUCUUCUUUGAAUCCAUUUGAAUACCCUCUGCUAAGACAACAUGACCCAGAAAUGCAACUGAACUCAACCAGAACUCACACUUCGAGAACUUAACAUAUAACAGACUAUCCCCCAGAGUCUGAAGAACCACCCUGAGAUGUUGCCCGUGUUCCUCUAGGCUGCGGGAAUAUAUCAGAAUAUCAUCAAUAAAGACUAUCACGAGUGAAUCCAAAUAGGGCCUGAACACUCGAUUCAUCAAGUCCAUAAAAGCUACUGGGCAUUUGUCAACUCGAAUAACAUAACCAAGAACUCAUAAUGCCCGUACCAAGUACAGAAAGCUGUCUUAGGGACAUCGAAUGCCCUAAUCCUCAAUUGAUAGUAGCCAGAUCUCAAGUCAAUCUUGGAAACUACCUUGGCACCCUGAAGCUGAUUGAACAAAUCAUCAAUCCUUGGCAGCAGAUAUUUGUUCUUGAUUAUUACCUUGUUCAACUUCUGGUAAUUAAUGCACAUUCUCAUCGAACCAUCCUUUUUCUUAACGAACAACACUAGCGCACCCCAAGGAGAUACACUGGUUCUAAUGAAACACUUCUCAAGCAACUCGUGUAACUGUUCCUUUAACUCUUUCAACUUAGGCGGGGCCAUACGAUAUGGUGGGAUAGAAAUAGGCUGGGUGCCCGGAGCCACAUCAAUGCAAAAGUCAAUAUCCCUGUCGAGAGGCAUACCCGAGAGAUCUGAAGGAAAAACAUCAAGGAACUCACGAACAACAGGCACAUAAUCGAUAGAAGAGACAUCAACACUAGAAUCAUGAACAUAUGCCAAAUAGGCUAAACACCCUUACUCGACCAUACGUCGAGCCUUCACAUACGAGAUAACACUGUGGGUGGAAUUAAUAUGAGUCCAUCUCCACUCUAAACGAGGAAAACCCGGUAAAGCUAAGGUCAAAAUCUUGGCACAAUAGUUCAAGAUAGCAUGGUAAGGUGAUAACCAGUCCAUCCCCAAUAUAAUAUCAAAGUCAACCAUGUCUAAAAGCAACAAAUCUGCAUGAGUCUCAAGACCCCGAAUCACCACAAUACAAGAACAAUGGACUCAAUCAACCACAAUAGAAUCACCCACUGGUGUAGACACAUAAACAGGAACACCAAAUGCAUCACUAGGCAAGACCAAGUACGUGGCAAAAUAAGAUGACACAUAUGAAUAUGUAGACCCUGGAUCAAACAACACCGAAGCACCUCUAUCAAAAACCAGAACCAUACCUAUAAUAAUUGCAUCUGAAGCCUUAACCUCGAGCCUUGCCUGAAGAGCAUAACAUUAGGGCUAGGCCCCACAACUCUGAUCUACCUCUCUAGGACGACCUGUAGCUGGCUGGCCUCCACCUCUAGCACCUCUACCUCUCUCUCUAGUACCUCUACCCCACCUCUAGCUGGCUAGGUGGGCUGUGGAAUACCUGGAGCCUGAACCAUGGCACGGGAACCCUAAUGUUGAGAGCUAAUCGGUUCUCAAGGUCAAAACCUAGAAAUGUGACCCGAAUUACUACAAAUAUAACAGCCCUCGGCUGCUGAGACUGCUGGCCAUGUCGACCUUAAUGACCACCUCGAAAACUAUGAAGAGGCGAUGCACUGAUAGGAGCUGGUGGUGCACUAUAAGGCUGCUAAUCAGAAUAAUGCGUCUGAGAACCACGGCCACCUGGGGCACCGUGAGAAACCUGGAGUGCUGACUGGAAGGGCCUAGAAGGAUGGCCCUUAUCACACGAAUCUAUGCCUCUAGACGAUGCACCACUGAACCUGCCUGACCGACGGGGUCUCUUGUCUGCCCUAUGACCACCCCCAUGUGAUAAUAACAUCUCAACUCUCAGGGCCACUAGCCACCUCCUGGAAGGAUAUCUCACUCCUAGCCUCCCUAGCCAAUUAGAGACGAAUCGGCUGAAUGAACCCAUCAAUAAACCGUCUCACUCUCUCCCUCGUAGUGGGAAGUACCGUACUGGGUGACCGUCAUGGAACCCUGCUAGAGACGCUCGAGCUGUCUCCGAUAGGCCUCUCGUUGUGUAAUAGGGAGAAACUUCUCCAGAAAUAGCUGCGUGAACUGCUCUUAGGUGAAGGCUGCUAUCUUAAUGGUCUGGCUAAACAAUAAUCCCUCCACCAAGUCUUGGUAGAUCCAGACAAGCGAAAUGUAGCGAAAUCAACCCCAUUGGUCUCAACAAUACCCAUAUUCCGAAGAACCUCGUGUUAGUUGUCCAGAUAAUCCUGAGGAUCCUCAAUAGAUGCACCGCUGAAGGUAGUAGUGAAGAGUUUGGUGAAUCUGUCCAACCUCUACAAAGCAUCGAUAGACAUAGCUGCUCCAUCACCGGCCUGGUCUACCAUGCCCAGCUGAGCUGCUCCUACAGGCUGAAUUGUUGGAGUCUGAAUCUGGGGAGUUACCUGCUCCAGAGUGUGAGUAGCAAGAGUCUGGGCUCCUCCUCCAGCCUGAGAGACGGCUGGUGCUACUGGAAGUAAACCUGCUCUUGUGACCUGAGCUAGGCCCACCGGAACUGUUGGGGCUGGAACCCCAUCAUCAAAAAUCAACCUCAGGCUUCGCUACGGGUGCUGCUUCCCUAGGCUGAGCUUUGCCCCUGCCUCGGCCUCUAGAAUAACCCCGACCUCGCCCUAUGCCCCACAUAGGAUAUGCUAGGUGAUCUGACUACUGAUCGGUAGAUGAGGAAGCUCAUGUUCUUGCCAUCUGCAAAAAAAAUAAUAGAGUAGAAAUUCAAUUAGCGUUGAGAAACCAAACCACACGACAAGAAAGAACAAAUGUGAAAUUUUCCUAACUCUAUAGACUCUAUGGACUAAACAGACAUCUCCGUACCGAUCCUCAGACUCUACUAAGCUUGUCCGUGAAUUGUGAGACCUAUAUAACUUAAAGCUCGAUACCAACUUAUCACGACCUAGAUUUCCCACCCUCGGGGGUUGUGAUGGUGCCUACUCGUAGAAGCUAGGCAAGAAACUAAAUCAUAAACUCCUAACGCUUUCAUUUUAAAUACUUUUAUGAAUCAUAACAACAAGAGUUAAAUAUUUCAAUAACAGCGGGAUAUGAAAUUAAAGCGAAAGACUUAAACUAAAUAAGCUGAACGAACUGUAAAAAUAAACAUAUGCCUCUACCCAAGAACUGGUGUCACAAUAUCCAUGGACUACUAAGAGUACUAAAUACAACCGUUGGGAAGAAAUAUAACAGUGUUUGUCUCGAAUACAUGAGAUAACAGAAUGAAAUAUAAGCUACCACGGUGUCUCAGUGGACUGAAGGCUAGCUCCCGAGCUACUGCCUGCGCACCAAAUGCUACUCGGGAUCUGCACAUAGUGCAAAGUGUAGUAUCAGCACAACAGAGUGCACGUUCUUGUAAGUGCGUAGCCUAACCUCUAGUUACGCAUCUAGGCUAGACCAGACUACCACAUAAACUUGUGCAUAUAUAUAUAUAUAUAUAUAUAUAUAUAUAUAUAUANNNNNNNNNNNNNNNNNNNNNNNNNNNNNNNNNNNNNNNNNNNNNNNNNNNNNNNNNNNNNNNNNNNNNNNNNNNNNNNNNNNNNNNNNNNNNNNNNNNNNNNNNNNNNNNNNNNNNNNNNNNNNNNNNNNNNNNNNNNNUAUAUAUAUAUAUAUAUAUACAAUGGAAACAGAGAUACGGAGAUAACCAAUCAAUAUGGGAGGGGGAGCAUGAUAUGGGGAGAUAACAACUCCGAGUAAAAGUCAUCAAGUAAUGAAGAAAGCAACAUAACUCAGACAUCAACAAAGAAUCAGAAAUCAAUAAGUGCAUGGCAUCACUCUUCGUGCUUUAACACUCUUCCUCACCCAAACAACAAUCACAAACAAGGGGCAAGGGACUAAACAAAUAAUAAUAGAAAUCCCGGCAAGGGAACACAAUUAAACAGUUAAAUCCCGAAAAGAGAACAAUAUUAUAAUCUCAGCAUCCCGGCAAGGGAUAAAAUCAACAAAGUCACAAAACAUCCCGGCAAGGGAACAAUUUAAUAACUCUUUCUCUUUCUUUCGCUUUUACUUCACAACUCACUUUACCACUUGAGCCAAUGCUCCAAAGGAUUCAAUCAUCUCAUAUACUUUCUCAAUUCGUGUUACAACAUGAGCGAACGUAGUUCAAAGAUCACAAUUUCUUUCACAUGCUCUUUCAACAUAUAAAAAUCAUCAUUUAAGCAUGAAAAAUACAACAAAAUCACAAUUUGUAAUAUAACUCGAGCCAAUGCACCUCGAUGUUCAAAGGUCAUAAUUUUUUUUCACAAGCUUUUCACAACAUAUAGAAAUCAUCACCAAGGCAUGAAGGAAACAAUGAAAUCAUGAUAUUCACAAUAUAAAGACUCAAGAUCAUGCUAGACACCAACGUAUAGAUACUUAUCAACAUGCCUAUACAUCGUACUCAACAAUUAUCAAAUAGCAAAUAGGACUCAUCUGCUAAUCCCUCAAGCUAAGGUUAGACCAAACACUUACCUCGAACUUCCACGGCCAAUUAAAUCCCCAACAACCACCUUUCCUUUUGAAUUCGGCUCCAAAUCAAUUGUAUCUAUACAUAAAUGAUUUCAUAACAUCAAAUAAUGCUAAACAAUUCGAAUCCAAUGCCUAAUUAUAGCUUUCCAAUCACUCUUCCCAAAAACCCAAAACUCGACCCCGGGCCCGCUUAGUCAAAGCGCGAGGUUCAGACCAAAAUCAACUCCCCCAUAUACCCACGAGUCCAAAUAUAUAAUUAUUUCUAGAAUUCGACCCCAAAAUGAGUUCUAAAUUACCACUAAUCAAAAAGCCCUAGUUCUAUCAAAAUCCAUAAUUCUCUACCCUUAAUUAAAUGUUUUAGGCCUAGAAUUCUAGUAGGUGUUGAUGGAAAAUGAAGAAAAUAAGUUGAACAAUGCUUACCCAAGAAACUUUGGUGAAGAAGUGCUUUAAAAACCGCCUAGGAGAUUUGGAGAAGAAAGGGUUUAUGAAAAUUUUAUAAAAUCCCGUUUUUGGUUCUGUUUAAAUGACUAGGCAAAAUGCUCUAUGCGAUCGCAAAAAAGCCUAUGUGAUUGCAUAGGUUUGACACUCUUGACUUAUGCAUUCACGAGCUAAGGGCCGCGUUCACAUAAGGUUAAAACUACCCGGCCCCAGACCCAUCUCCUAUUCUAUGCGUUCGCGACUAACUCCGUGCAUUCGUGUAGAGAAAUUCCCCAAAGCUCCACGUUCACACUCAGGUCCAUGUGUUCGCAUAGUGCAAACCUACCCCCUUCCUUGUUUGUGCGUCGCAUUCGCAUAGAUGACCAUGUGUUCGCAUAGAGUAAAAGCCUGGGCACCAAAAUACAACAGAAAAUAUCAGAUUUCUAAGUCUAAAAUUAUUCCGAAACACACCAGAGCCCUCGGGGCUCCUAACCAAACACAUUUACUAACUCAACAACAUCAUACGAACUUAUCAGUGCGAUCAAAUACCCAAAAUAACCUCAAAAAUAAUGAAUUAAACCUCAUAAUCAAGAACUUUUCUCUCAAACUUCAUCAAGUUACAAAUAUAGAAAUUCAAGUCUGAAUCGCGUCAACGACGUCCGUUUUUAACGAAAUUUUACAAAAAGGACUUAAACCAUAUAAAAGAUCUGUACCGGGCAUCGGAACCAAAAAAUACAGGCCCGAUAUCAUCGCUUUCUAAUCCUAUUUUCAUUUCAGUUUUCCUUAAAAAUUUUCAGAAAACAAUUUUAUAGAAAAAUUUGUUUCUCGGGCUUGGACCUCGUAAUUCGAUUCAGGGCAUAUGCCUAAGUCCCAUAUUUUCUACGGACCCUCCGAGAUCGUCAAAUCACGGGCCCGGUUCCGCUUUCCCAAAAUAUUGACUGAAGCCAAAUUUAUUCAUUUUAAAAUCAAAACUAAGAAUUUUUCACAGAAUUUCAUAUUUAAGCUUUCCCGCUACGCGCCCGGACUGCACACGUAAGUCAAGAUAACUCUAAAUGAGGUUUUCAAUGCCUCGAAAACACAUAAUUCAAUUAAAAACAAGUGAUGAACCCUUUAGGUCGUCACAAAUAGAUUCUACAAAUAUUUAUAAUCACAAAAAAGUUUAUACGUGUUACGCUAUUGAAUAUAUAUUUCAAUGAAAAAAAUUCAAAAUCUAUACCUAACCUUUCCCAGUAUUAGUGACACUCUCAAUUUCAUCAUCUAGAUGUGGAUCUCUAAAUACGCUUUCAUACUAAACUUCUGCAUGCACAUCCAUAUCAUUACGUUCAUCACCACCUGACAGUAAGCAAACCACAAUAAUGAUCAUAAACUCCAUCUUUGGUAAUUAGAACACUAGAUUCUCUCUAUGUGUUCCUUUCAUCAGUAUCAAACUUUGAUCCUAGAUUUUCUUUAAAUCCUGAGAAAGAAACUAAGUUAUAAAGUUAAGGACAGACAGUCCUAAACUUCAGGUUACAAGUAAAGAAGUUAAGGACAGACAGUCCUUAACUUAGAGUAACAAGUUUAAAAUUUAAGGACAUGCAGUCCUUAACUUUGAACUCCAAGUUAAAAAGUUAAGAACACUUGGUCCUGAACUUCAACUUUCAAAUUAAAAAGUUAAGGACACUUGGUCCUGCACUUCCAAUUUCAAAUUCAAAAGUUCAGGACAGACGGUCCUCAACUUAAACUUACAGGUUCAAAAGUAAAGGACGCUUGGUCCUAAACUUCAAGUCGUAAGUUCAGAAGUUAAGGAUACAUGGUACUAAACUUCAAGUUUUAAGUUCAAAAGUUAAGGACAGACAGUCCUUAACUUAUAGUUUUAAGUUCAAAAGUUAAGGACACUUGGUCCUAAACUUCAAGUAUUAAGUUCAAAAGAUAAGGACAAGCAGUCCUUAACUUAUAGUUUUAAGUUCAAAAGUUAAGGAUACAAGUUCCUGAACUUAGACUAACUGAAAUUAAUGAUAUUACCAUGAUUUCAUUCUCUGAUACAGCUAUUUUCUGAUUUACUCUAGUAACUUCAGCUUACAGUUCCUUUUAAAAACUCUCUGAUAAUCUCUAAAUCAAAAACAAAAAAACAAAAAAGUCUUAUAAGCAAAAAAUAAUCAAAUAAAAUACUAAUAAUGCUAUUCAAAGGCAGAAAACCUACUUUAAUAAUUUCCUUAAGCAUUGCUUCAUCAAAUUGUGUGGAAGAAGGCAUUGAACUUUCAUCUUGAGAAAUUGGCUCUUCCAUACAUGAAUGAUGACACCUCGAUCAACUUAUAAAACUAUUAUAUAACAAAAAAUAAGCAUAAGUUUUCAGAACUAAAACAAAUAAACAAAAAAAUAUCCAGUAAUUAGAUUAACUUGCAUUUUUAUUAUGGAAGUAUUUUUUACACAGAGGAUCAUACAGUAGAGAUUUCGUUUCUGAAUAAUAUAAUAUCUGAGGAUGAGUAUAGCCACAUUCUUGGAAGUUCACAAAUUAAUUUUCCUGGAGAAUAGGAAUUACUUCCAUAAUACAAACACAAAAGGCAAAACGAAAGCCAAGUAUAGUAUAGUUAUCAUUGUCUUUAUCUUUGUCUUUCUCAUUCUUAUUCUCAUUCUCAUUGGGCUUCAAAUAACCCUUCAAUGAUUUUAAUUAUGUUUCAUAAGAAAGAGAGCCCCACUUGAAAGAAGAGCAGAGUUCAUCAUCAUCUACAAUUUUCAUUAUCUACUCAGACACAUCCUAUUCUUUCGCUUCCCCAUCAAAACAAAUUCAAUAAAAUAAAUUGUUGCCAACUUCACAGCAUCAUCAUCGCUGCCUGCAAAUGAUGCAGAUGUACCAUGUGGGUAACUGGUAAUAAAAUUAAACAAAUCACGCAACUCAACUCUAUCCUUUCCGGGAAAAUAGACUUUCGAAAGCUUAUUCUCUUUUUCAUGCAAAUCUUUGAUGUCCGGUGAGGAGUAACACUUCAAACCAGUAAUUAUAUGAAAUGUUUCACGUGUAAAAUUAAUUUCACGGUCAAAAACCUUGAAUGUUAUCAAAUCAUGGUCAUUAUUUACAAUUUCUGAAAGCAAUACACAGUGAAUAAGUUUAUCACAGAACUUUCCACUUUGUAAUCGGAAAAAAAUUUCCGAAAAUACCAUCUCUCAACUUCUUCCACUACCUGUUUGACAAAUUUUUUUGAUUAUUUCCUUAUACUAUAAAUAUCCUUUCCAAUAGAUCGUAAAAUUAUGCCAAACAUCAAACUCGAACACACGAUCUCCUUCCAUUAUCACACUACAAAGAAGGAAAAAGAACAUAAAGAUUAGGAUUUAUAGUUACAACUUGAAAAGUUCGAGGAACUUGGUCCUUAACUUCAAGUUUCAAGUAAAAAAGUUAAGAACAUGUAGUUCUUAAUUUAAAGUUUUAAGUUUAAAAGUUAAGGACAAUAGGUCAUGAACUUCAAUUUCAAGUUCAAAAGUUAAGAACACUUGGUCCUUAACUUAAGUUUCAAGUUAAAAAGUUAAGGACAUGCAGUACUUAACUUAUAGUUUCAUGUUGAAAAGUUAAGGACACUUGGUCCUUAACUUCAAGUUUCAAGUUCAAAAGUAAAGGACACUUGGUUCUUAACUUUGAAUUUCAAGUUCAAAAGUUAAGGACACUUCUGAACUUUGACUUACAAGUUCAAAAGUUAAGGACACUUGUCCCUUAACUUAGAGUUACAAGUUAAAAAGGUAAGAACAGGAAGUCCUUAUCUUAUAGUUUCAAGUUGAAAAGUUAAGGACAUUUAGUCCUGAACUUCAACUUUCAAGUUCCAAAGUUAAGGACGAUUGGUCCUUAACUUCAAAUUUCAAGUUGAAAAUUUAAGGACACUCAGUCCUUAACUUUGAGUUCCAAGUUCAAAAGUUAAUGUCGCUUGGUCCUUAACUUUUAUUAACACAGUUAACUAAAAAUUCAUAAACAUAGUUAGCUUAUGAAUUCAUACGGCUAUUUUAUGAAAUGUCCUUACAUAAUCAAAUAUAUUGAUUGAACCACAAAUACAUUUCAAUACAAAAAAAAAUUUCAAUAACAGCCUCACAAAAUACGCUACUUAUUUGACACUGAAUCAACUUAUAAUCAUUAUUUUUAAAAUUUAACACAUACUUGACAUAACAUUGAUCGAGAUUACAUAUAUACAAAAACAAAAAUGCAUAAAAGCAAAAAAUAAAAAAUAAAAAAAAUACCAGUUCGAUCGUUCGAUGAAGAUGAAGAAGGAGAAAGAUUAAGUGUAGCUGGUUUGCAUGCGAGGACGAUACAGAUGAGGAGCACGCGAAACUGCCUGAAAUUUUCACUCUCAAAUUUUCCCUUUUCUGAAUGAAUAAAACAAAGGUUUAGGAAUAUAAGAAUUAAAGAAAGGGUAAAACUGUCUUUUUGCUAUUAGUAAUGGCUAUUUUUGCUGAGCAUUAUAAUUAGUGGAUAAAAAAUAAAGAUCAUCUUAGUUAAUAGCUACCACACACCAUUUUACACGGCUUUCAUAGUCAUGGAUCGUAGUAGUAAUAUUUUUCGAAUACGAUGAAGACAAAAUGUAGUAUUUUAUGGAAGAUAAAAUGACCAAAUCUUGAUAGAAAAUGAUCGAGUAACUAACUUGUAGUCACUGGCAUUAGGUAAAGGAUAAUGAGAAAUUUUCAUAAAAUAUUAUUUUAGUAAUAAUUAGUCAUCUAUAUAUACUAGUUUCUAUAUUACGGAUUAUAGAUAUUUUUUAUUUGGUUAUAAUAUGUAUUUGAUGUAUUUAAGCUAUUGUAUUCAUGAAUACAUCAGCAAAAAUAGGUGUGGAUCAGGGAAGUCCAGCUAAUCAGUUAUUGUAUUCCAGUUUAUUCAAUUGUACUCAUGGAGUGAAACAUGGAUUUAUAGCUGAAAAGAUUAUUGUAUUCGACUGUAUUCAGGGCGUGAAAUAGGAGAUGACACUGUUUUUAAAAGGAAAAGUGAAUCAAUUAACGUAAUAGACUCCUAAUAUAACUCAACAAACUCAAUUAUAACACACAAAUUUUGUAUUUUCAGUUAUAAAAAGGAUUUUCAACCGAAAAAUACCCCAAAAACAUAUCAAUCUGCAGAGAAAUUAUACUAAUUAUCACACAAAUAUUGUAUUUUCAGUUAUAAAAAGAUUUCCAACCGAAAAAUAACUCAAAAACAUAGCAAUCUUCAGAGAAAUUAUAUAAUACAUAUGAAUACAUAAAUUAUAUUAAUUAAAAAACUUAUGAAUACAUUCAUGGCAUAUAGCGAGACAAUGAAUACAAUAAAAAAAGACAAUGAAUACCAUGAAAUACAUGAAAAUACAUUGACAUAUAUUAACAGAAAAUCAUCCUACAAUAUCCAUAUCUUAAUUUUUUCAAUUGGCAAGGCGAUAUUCACGAUGCUAGUGGAGCCAACUUAUAAAGCAAUGAGGAACGAAUUUAGGAGGAGAAUGGGAAGGAAAACGACAGUGACAAGCCUUGACGGAUUCGAUAUUUGCUACACAGUCCCCAUUAGAAUUCCAACAAUAAUGUCGAUGUUUGUGGGCAUGAAACGCUGCCACAAGACAACUUCUUGAUCCAUAACAGAGAAGAAAUCAAUUAAUGGAGGAUCUGGCACUUGCUACUAAAUUCUAAUAGAAUCGAUCCAAAAAAAGGGGUAGUUAGAAAUCUACAAAGCUAAACGGUAAAAACAUACUCGGUAAUUGCCUUAUCCUAUCAUUUAGUUUUCUACUCAUAUAUAUAGUGAUCCGCUCUUCAGGUGUCUUCCUUUAUUGCUUUCUUGCCUCUUAAAGGAAUUGGCUGGUUUGGGGACCAAUCCAGGUAUAUUGGUUACCUCCGUAGUAGAGAAGGAAUCAAUUAAUGGAGGAUAUUGACUUCUUGCUAACAAUUCUCCUACUACAAUGGAGGAUAUCGACGGAGGAGAAAUCACAAGCGAACUAGACAGAGAAGAGGAAGAGUAUCAGAAAUUUUAAUAAGAUGGUAGAAGAGAAUGGGAUGUAUCAAAAUAGAGAUAGAAAGAAAUGUUGUAACUGAUUAGUGUAUUUAGUGGCUUAACGCUAGGAAGUAACCAAAAUGAAAUAUUUGGCUAUAAAUCUUAAAAGGCAUCUAUAGAAUAUAACUUUUUUAAAUAAUAUUUAUUUAAAUAUAUAAGGUGUUAAUAUUUUCUAUAGGAGGUAAAAUUAUCAAAAAUAAUAGUAUUAUCAUUUGUCAUUUCCUAAUACGAUAAGAAAUCUAAGAAGCACAACAAAAGAAAGCUCUUGAACGCAAAAAAAUAAAAAAAAUUAAGAGAUAUAUGUAUAGAUAUAAGUUAUAUUUUCUUCACCUUUGCUUGAAGAUGAGGUUCAUCCAAUGAAAAGCGAAAAACAUAACAUACCUAUCAAUUAAAAAAUGAGAGAAAAUUAAGCAGUUGUUCUCAUUUGGUUACUUAUUAACUAGUAGGAUACUAUAUCCCAUUUGGUUAUUAACUGAUAGCAGGGUUUUAUUUGUCGGUGAUUAUUAUAUCUUCCAUUUAUUUUGUAUUUUUUAUAUUGCUGUUAUUUUAUUAUGAUUCUAUUGAUAGUACUAAUAUAUUUAUUGUUGUUGCUUUUUUGAGCCGAGGGUUUCUUGGAAACAGUCUCUCUAUCCCUCGAGGUAGGGAUAAGGUCUGGAGACAUAUUACUCUCCCCAGACCUCAUUUAUAAAAUUAUACCGAGCCGUUGUUAUUGUUAUUGAUACUAUAUCCCAUAUUUUGUUCCUUUGUUAGUUAUGUUCAGAUAUAUUCAUGAAAAAUCACAAUAAGGUACAAGCUUUGGCCACCAUAUUAAUUGAUGCUUCUGAUUAAUUGAACUAAAGAAAUUGUCACUAUCACACCUUUUGUUAUCAAGAAUGUCACUUCACUUUAAAACUGCAUUUAGACACAUGACAUCCGGGAUAGAGCUAGAAAUUUGAGCACGGAUUCUGUUGAACCCAAUCGUUUUUACUCAAAUAAUUUAUUAUUAAAAAUAUAUAUUAAAUAAUUAUAAAUAUUAAUUUUAGAACCCAAUUAUGUACUUGAAGUCAUUAUUUUAAGAUUCAAUUCCAUAAAAUUAAAAUUUUAGCUUCACCUCGGCGUGAAAUUGAUGUUUCCAUCAUCUUUCACUCAUAGGCCACAUUUAAAUUUGAUAGAUACAUGCAAAUUUAUUAUAUAAUUUCAUCCUUAAUUAACACGUAAACGAGGAGAAAAGUUCUGAAUCAAUAAAAUAUCCUAAACGAGAGAUCAAAAUAGUGGAUAAGCACAUAAUCAAUGAAUCUCUUUCAUACUUGCAACAAAGAAUGGUGUAUAUAAGUAGCUAGUUAUUUGAGUAAUCCACUUGGAAUAUGUAUAUUUAUCAUUAGAUGAAAACCACAUAACAAUGAGUUGGGUAAGCAUGUUUAUCAUUAAAUGAAAAAUAAUACAGCUUUUUAUACAAGUAGCUGAUAGGAUUUACUGUUUAUAAUCUAACUGGUAUAACAACAACAACAAUAACAACCCAGUAUAAUCUCACUUAGUGGGGUCUGGGGAGGGUAGUNNNNNNNNNNNNNNNNNNNNNNNNNNNNNNNNNNNNNNNNNNNNNNNNNNNNNNNNNNNNNNNNNNNNNNNNNNNNNNNNNNNNNNNNNNNNNNNNNNNNNNNNNNNNNNNNNNNNNNNNNNNNNNNNNNNNNNNNNNNNNNNNNNNNNNNNNNNNNNNNNNNNNNNNNNNNNNNNNNNNNNNNNNNNNNNGCUGUUUCCAAAUAGACCUCCGGCAUCCUUCCCUCCAAGAACUUCUCACCUUGCUCUUGGGAAGACUCGAACUCACAAGCUCUCGGUUGGAAGUCAUACAUAAUUAUAUAUAGAGCUAUUAAUAUGUGUCAGUACAUACGGGUCUUGGCAUUUAACGAGAUGGGCUUGAUCGACCUUUUGAAGGGUCUUAAAUUGGUUACCCUAGCUCAAUCCUACGUGGGUUGCGAAUCCCCAUGGGCCGGCUCACUAUUUUUUAGAAAUAUUUAUCAUACUUAUUUAACUUAAGCUCUAACCUAAUAAUCUAAAAAAAAUAUUUACAAGUCAAAUAAUAUAUUGUUAGACAGAAAGUUUCUACAAAACUUAAUAACUUUUGACAUUGUUCCAAUAGAGUACAAUGAAACUCAGGAAAAAAAAGGAUAAUAUUUUAUUUAUUAAAAUCAAAUCAAACUACUCAAUUAAACUUAUGGCAUAUCUAACGCUGCUACAUUAUAUUCAUCAAGUGCAUUUGAAUUCGUGACAACAAAAUUAAGAGAGAAAAAGGAAAUCAUACAUACCACUAUAAAAUUGAAAGAGAGUAAAUAAUGCUGCUACUAUUUAGGGUUUAUGAAAUCUGGGAUUUUAUUAUUCAUUUUAUUAUUUUAUUUUACUUCACUUUAUGCUUAAAAUUUUGAAAUUUAAAACUUCGUUCUUUUAAUGUGAUGAGCGCAAUAGACUAUAAUUUUGGGCUACUUUUCUUGUUAUUUUUAAUUUAUAGUUCCUUUUAAUUUUUAAUAUAUUUAAUUAAAUAGUUUUCAUUAGGCCUACGGGCCAACCUAUUCCAACCUAGGUCAAGACUCACAGGUCCCAAGCUUACUUUGGCCUCCUCUUGAAUAGGCUCCAAAAAUCAUAGUCUGGCCAUACUGAAUCACGGACCCCGUGGGCCUGCACAUUGGCCAAUAUUGAUGACUCUAUUUAUAUACAUAAUAUACAUAAAUUAUAUAUAUAUAAAUUAUUUUUAAUUUAAACGAUUGAACGAAUUAUUAUUUAUAUAAUUCUUCAAAAUAGGAAUAAUAUUGAGUUGAGUGAUCACUUACCUAGCUAGUCAUACUUCAUAUGUAUCAUCAUAAUAUAAAAUAGUACCACAAUGUCCAUGAUUUUUUUUUUUACACUUGUGUGACUUGUGCAUGCAAAUAAUUCAAAUUAUUUCAUUUUCAACAAAAUGUCCACUUUGCAUUGGACAAAAUCCUUUCCAAAAGCAUCCAGUAUCUUCUAAAGUUUAGCCAUAUUAAUGUCCUUACCAAUUUGGAUAGGAUAUGAAAUAAUGGUGAUAAUAAAAUAACAUAAUAUCAGAAGGAAAAACAAAAUAGAAAACAUUUUUUAUAGUUAAAGAUUUGUUAUGUUGUGCUUGUGAAAGGUGUAAAUAGCACGGUAUAAUUAAUUUUUGGAUUGGUUAUUCAAAAAUAAGCAGCGUUUAUAAAGUCAAUGAAAAAUAGCCAUUAUUUUGCUGUAAUAGAGACUGGUCCAACAUAAUAUACUGGAGUUCAGUGCACCUAUAUAUGAACUCCAGCAUAUUAUGCUGGACCAGUAUACUUUGCCGGCUCCAGUAUAAUAUACUUGAGACUGGAGCAUCGGUGCCCCAAACUCCAGUAUAUUAUGUGUAUACUUGUUGGAACUCCAGUAUAUUAUGCUGGAGUUCUAGUGUAUUUGUACUGGAAAUACUUAUCCUAGAACUCAGGUAUAAUAUAUUGGAGUUCAAGUAUACAUAUGCUGGAACUCCAGCAUAAUAUACUGGCGUAUUUUCCAGGUUUUGAACAGUAUUUUCACUCAAAUUUAUUUUUAUAUAAAAAGUGACUAAAUUUUUAUUAUUUUUAAAAAUGAUGCUUUUUAAACGAUCAUUUAUAAAUCUGACCAUUUUUUAAUUUCACCCUUGUGAAAGCCUUGAAAGAUUAUAUCUUUGAUUUGAGAAGCAUCUCAAAAUAGUGCAUUGUCCUUCUUUUUUUUAUAAAUAGUAAUUUCUGUUAGAAUAUAUGCUUAACGCUAGAGGGGGGGUGAAUAGCGUUAUAAUAAAAUUUGCGGAAUUUAAAAUCAAGUUNNNNNNNNNNNNNNNNNNNNNNNNNNNNNNNNNNNNNNNNNNNNNNNNNNNNNNNNNNNNNNNNNNNNNNNNNNNNNNNNNNNNNNNNNNNNNNNNNNNNNNNNNNNNNNNNNNNNNNNNNNNNNNNNNNNNNNNNNNNNNNNNNNNNNNNNNNNNNNNNNNNNNNNNNNNNNNNNNNNNNNNNNNNNNNNNNNNNNNNNNNNNNNNNNNNNNNNNNNNNNNNNNNNNNNNNNNNNNNNNNNNNNNNNNNNNNNNNNNNNNNNNNNNNNNNNNNNNNNNNNNNNNNNNNNNNNNNNNNNNNNNNNNNNNNNNNNNNNNNNNNNNNNNNNNNNNNNNNNNNNNNNNNNNNNNNNNNNNNNNNNNNNNNNNNNNNNNNNNNNNNNNNNNNNNNNNNNNNNNNNNNNNNNNNNNNNNNNNNNNNNNNNNNNNNNNNNNNNNNNNNNNNNNNNNNNNNNNNNNNNNNNNNNNNNNNNNNNNNNNNNNNNNNNNNNNNNNNNNNNNNNNNNNNNNNNNNNNNNNNNNNNNNNNNNNNNNNNNNNNNNNNNNNNNNNNNNNNNNNNNNNNNNNNNNNNNNNNNNNNNNNNNNNNNNNNNNNNNNNNNNNNNNNNNNNNNNNNNNNNNNNNNAACUUAAUCAAAGAUUGGCUCUCAAAAAUAAUGAAUUUAGAAUGAAAAUGAUUGCAAUUGUAAUAUGUAAACUUUGACAGAUUUUAGCUCAGUUGUUGUAUUUAGAAGAGUGUUUCAGGGGUGUAUUUAUAGGAUAAAAAGAGUAUCAAACCGUUGCCUAAUUGUCAAACAAAAUCCCUGAAAUUGUGCUGUGACAAUCGAUUGUCAGGUAUUUACAAUCGAUUGUCUGACCAUUUUUCAAAAGACAACUUUUUAGCAGAAAAUCGUUUGUUUGAAAAUCUGUAAGUCAACAAUCGAUUGUUGGAAGACCACAAUCGAUUGUGGUUCAUAUUUUCAAAAUAUUUCGGUCAGUUAUUUGAAAAAUGGCAGAUUUGUGUGAUCAAAAUUCAACAAACAAAUCCCUGAUUGAAGGAGUGAUUUACUGAACAAUAAUUUAGUUUAGGACUUUUGUAAAACGGAUUUGUAAAUAAUUUUCAACCACCAAAUCUUGACUUUUAAGAUUGAAAAUAUGUUUUUAGAAAUCCGAACCUUCAACAAUCGAUUGUCAAACUCUCACAAUCGAUUGUUGGCUUAUUGAGAUUUAUUGUAAAAAAUAUGUUUUUGGAAAUCUGAAGCUUCAACAAUCGAUUUUUAAAUCCUCACAAUCGAUUGUUGGCUUAAUAAAAGCCUUUUUAACACAUUGCCUCCUUGACAAUCGAUUGUUGGCUUAAUGAAAACUUUUGGUAACAUACUGCCUCACUGAAAAUCGAUUGUUGAACCAUGACAAUCAAUUGUUGAACCAUAAAAGCUUAAUUUUGAAAGUUCCGGUGUUCAAAGCUUUGGCAACGGUCGANNNNNNNNNNNNNNNNNNNNNNNNNNNNNNNNNNNNNNNNNNNNNNNNNNNNNNNNNNNNNNNNNNNNNNNNNNNNNNNNNNNNNNNNNNNNNNNNNNNNNNNNNNNNNNNNNNNNNNNNNNNNNNNNNNNNNNNNNNNNNNNNNNNNNNNNNNNNNNNNNNNNNNNNNNNNNNNNNNNNNNNNNNNNNNNNNNNNNNNNNNNNNNNNNNNNNNNNNNNNNNNNNNNNNNNNNNNNNUUUCAAUAAUAACUCACAUAUAUUUUGGCAUAUAUUAUUUUCCAUCUAAAUUGGUUUGUCAAUUAUCAAAACAUAUAAUUAUGAACAUACAUAUGUUCCAACAAUUUCCAUUUCAUCAAUAAAUCAGAAUAAUACAGGUUUUACCAGCAGCCACUGACUAGCUACUGUUUCCACUCAAUCUAAUAUGAAUUCACUCCCAAACGCUAUAUAUACAUUAAAUUUCAAGAACAUUUAAUUCUUUCCGUCUUUCCCUAUGGGUAGUGAUCCAGUCUUCUCAAAGCAAUCUUCUAGUUUUUAAGUGAGGUUUCUUAUGUAUGCACGUGAACUGCUAUCUCUUUGCAUGUAUCAUUUAUAACUACGCUUCCGCCUUGGAACCUAAUCUUGUUCCUUUCUCGCCAGAGACAGUAUACCAACAUUCCAAACACACUAGUGGUUAUUUCAGCAUGUACAUUUCUCCUUUUUGCAAUGUUGUUUAUCCAUUCUAUUUCAUUGUUCCAAUCACAAAUGGUUCUCUAGUAUCCCAGCCAUAUGAGCAAUCUAUUCCAUAACCCCCAGCAAUAUUGCUAAUCCAUUCUAUUUCAAUAUUCCAAUUACAAGUGGUUCUCGGGUAUCCCAGCCAUAUGAGCAAUCUAUUCCAUAACCCCUAUGAUGUCGGACAAGUAAAAAAUAGAUGGUCAAAAGAUUCAUCUACUUGCUUGCAGAAUACACAUUGUUGCGGANNNNNNNNNNNNNNNNNNNNNNNNNNNNNNNNNNNNNNNNNNNNNNNNNNNNNNNNNNNNNNNNNNNNNNNNNNNNNNNNNNNNNNNNAUACAUAUUCACGCCUCUUCCCAAAGUGCAUUAGCCGCUCCACUGUUGCCAGUCUUCUGCGCAAAGCUAGCAAGACGAUAAGUUUGAAUCUUGGGUGUAGUUUUGGCUGCAGUACUAUACUUUUUCAUUGUACUUUUGGGGUUUGAGGGAGCUGGAGUCUGUAGAGCUUGUUGAUGUUGAACAGUUCUCCCCUCUGUAGCUAGAUCAAUCGACAUUUCAGGUCCCCCUGUAUACCCUGAAGACUUGUUAUCAGUGAUCUGGUUUCAAAUAUCUUCCUCACAGCCCAGGCUACUAUUUUAGGUGUUGGUACAUCCUGAACAGGUUUAUUCUUAAUGUAGUAUGUGUGCACCCAUUUGAUCCAUAGGUUGACUGCUGUUUUAGGAGUUGGUACAUUGUCCUUUUGAUUUAUAUUAUCACAAGAAUCCCAAGUUUAAAGUAAUAACAAAAUAGGCCCAUAACCCAUACCCCACCAACUAUAUUUUGGGCCUAUUCAUCUGUCGUUAAUGGGCUCAUUUCCUCUUUUUUAUUUAGGGAUUUUUACAUAUCUAUACCAUAUAGCAAACCUUAUUACCUUCCAUGUUUAAGGUUUGUAUUUAUUACAUUUAAGCAUACCAAAUUUUUAUUUAUGUACCAUAAUUCAAAUUAAGGGUAUAAUUAUUGUUUCACUUAUUCUAGGCAUAAUUUUAGGAGCAUAUAUUCACUUUAUUUUAUUUAUCCGCCUCUCUCUCCUCCCAUCCCCCACGAUUUUUCAACUAAUUUAAAUUCAGGAGGCCUGGGAAAAUAUCGAUGAAGGUAACUUUGCAUGACCCCACCUUGAUUUAUAUACAUUAUAUAUGAUAAUUCGUACUGCUUUCAAAACAAGAAGAGUCAAAUAUUAUACUGCUAACGUUUUAAUCUUUAUUUUGGGGUGUUUAGACCACUUUCAAAGUUCAGUUGUGUAACCCGUUCUUAGUGCCAGUUGUGUAACCAGUCUACAGUGUGAGUGCAAGUGUAGUUAAUUUGUAGUUUUUUGCAGAAAUUUUGUAGAAGAAGAGCAAAUUUUGUUGUCAACAUUUUAUUUUUACACAAGAUUGUAGUUUAAUUGUAGUAUAAAUGUAACAAUACAACUUUAUACAAUACUUAAAAUGAUUUGUAGUUUAUUUGUAGAAAUUGUAUCUACAAACUGAAUACAUUGAAUUUUAAUAUUCCAAUUCUCAUUUCAAUUGUACCAUAAUUGGCAUUUUCGACAUAAUUGUAGAAGACUUGUAGAAAUUUUAGUCUUCUCAAUCUACAGUUUAUCUACAAAUUAUCUACAUUGUAUCUACAUUUUAUCUACAAUUCUACAAUUUAACUACAAUUUAACUAUAAUUUCUGAAAAAAUAUGUUUUCUUCUUCUUCGACGAGUUUCAAUAUGAAAUUCAGUCAAAACCAAGUCUAUUCUUCGACGUGUUUCAAUCUGAAAUUCAGUCAAAAAUUUCACCAGAACCCCUCAAAAUUUAGAUAUAAACUCCUAAACAUAUUCCAAAUUAUUUACAACAACACCCAAUCCAAACAAAUAAUGAUUUUUGAAAAUUCAAAAUUGAAUUUAAAGCUUUCAAGCUUUUUAAUGGCUAUCAAUGGUGGAAAAUACAUGGAGAAUGAGAGAAUCACGCUGUAAUGGAUUUUCUUCCGUUAUAAAUCUCGAAAUUAAUGGUGAUAGAAUCAUCAUUAAAUCUGAUUCCUUCUAUUUUGGUGCGUUUUUAGGGUGGAAUUCAUCUAUUUUUGGUUUGGUACAGAUUUUGUAGAUAAACUAUGGACUAGGCGGGUAAAUACAAUAUUAUGAACAUUUUUGAUAAUAAGGUUUGCUAUAUGGUAUAGAUAGGUAAAAAUCCCUUUUGUUUAUUUAUUUUCAGUUCUUUUCACAUUUUCACUUGAGAGAAAAAGAUUCUUAAAUUCUCUCUAGAGUUUAAGUUUUGAUAAUGCAAAAACAAAACAAAAGUAGUCAAAAUAAUUAUUAAGAUAAUUACAGAUAAAAUUUUCUAAUAUGCAAUAAUUGAUAAUAUAUUAAAAAAGCAAUGACUUACUAUAAUAUAUUACACUAAUCGAAUAAAUAAUUAUUCUCCCUGUUCCAAUUUAUGUAGAUUUAUUUUUGCAUAGUCCACGAUUAAAACUAUCUAAACUUUGACUAAUAUUCUUAGUUUUUAUAUCAUAUUAACAUGAGAAGAAUUAUAAUUCAUAUUAUUUUUCAUAUAAUUUUGAAUAUCUAAAUUUUAAUUUUAUAAUAUUGAGUUAAUAUAAUUUUAUUUAGCUUCAAAGAUUAGUCACAUUAACUCUCGAAAGAUGAAAAGAUUCAUAUAAAUUGGCACGAAAUAAAUAUUAAAUUUUAGCAGGGGCAAAACUAGGGGCACAAAAUAGUUUAUUCGAAUUUCCUUCGUCCGAAACUUACACUAUUGAAAUUAUGAUAUAUAUAUAAAAUAGAUAUUAAAUUUCUUUAAUUUUUUUGUGUUCUUGUUUUGAUAUUCGGCUUUUUUUAAAAAAUCCUGCACCUACCAUUAAUUAUUAUUGUAUACAGCUUAAUUACUUUUUUGUUUCCAUUUAUAGAUUAUCUAAAUCCAACGGCCGACAAAACAGUGGAAAACAAAUUGUUCAAUAUUUGGUCUAAGAAAGAGGCUAUCGUGAUACAAAGUACAGUCCUAUAUUAGGUACUCAUUUGUAGUCAAAAAAUAUAGCCAGAAAGUCAACCUUUUCAAUCUGUGAAACCUCUUUGAGGUGUUAGUUUUAUAAAUAUGUCAAAACAUAAAGAAAAUUUUAAAAUAAAAAUAAAAAUAUGGAAUGACAUGCUUGGAAAUUUAUUGCUUAUUAGUUAGUAAGUUUUAACAUUUAUUGCCAACAAUAUGUAGCCAUACAUUUGAUCUCUUCUUUCUUUAUUUUAUACUGGUUUGGAAGAUAACAUUUGAUAAAUUUAUUUAUGGAAGUAUUAAAACCAAACUUCAUAUGAAAUUGAAAUUUGCAUCCCCCUUCUUUUAAGAAUAAAAUAAAAUUAUUUGGGCAAAUUACAUAGCCAGUCCGCCAAAAAUAAUUAUAUCCACUAGCCAAAUGUAUAAAAGAUAUACAAAAAAAAUAUAUAGUUUGACAGCUAUUAUUUUUGGAAGCAGCUAUAUUAUAUAAUUUUUCCAAGAGAAAUUUUCGUUCCUAUACCAUAUAUGAAACUAUAUUACCAAAUAUGUUCAUAGUUUGCUAAUUACCCUUCAUGCUAAUAGUAUUCCCACAAAAUAUAGACAAUGCAUUAAAUAAGAAAUCAUUAUGGCUGUAGGAUUUCUUAUUUAAGCGCGCAAAAAAUUGGGAAUUAAAUAUUUUUCAGAUCUUCCACAACGCAAAUCACGCACAUUCAUAAUUAUCGUCGGCUUCGUUUCAAAUUUUUUAUACUCUGUUUUCGCGAUACUCUGUUUCCAGAAUUCUCUCUAUAUCUCUCUCUAUCUCGUAAUCCCAAAUUUCAGUAAUACAAAGCAAAGGAAAAGAGAGCAGCAAUUCCACCAUCGACAGCCAUUAAAAAACUUUGAAGAUUUGAAUUCAAAUUUGAAUUUUCAAAAAUUAUUUGCUUGGAUUGAGUGUUGUUGAAAAUAAUUGGAAAUAUGGUUUGGAGUUUAUAUCUCAAUUUUGAGGGGUUUUGGUGAAGAUUAGNNNNNNNNNNNNNNNNNNNNNNNNNNNNNNNNNNNNNNNNNNNNNNNNNNNNNNNNNNNNNNNNNNNNNNNNNNNNNNNNNNNNNNNNNNNNNNNNNNNNNNNNNNNNNNNNNNNNNNNNNNNNNNNNNNNNNNNNNNNNNNNNNNNNNNNNNNNNNNNNNNNNNNNNNNNNNNNNNNNNNNNNNNNNNNNNNNNAAUUUCAUAUUGAAACUAGAAGAAGAAGAAGAAGAAGAAGAAGAAGAAGAAGAAGAAGAAGAAGAAGAAGAAGAAGAAGAAAAAGAAGACAUGAUAUACAUUAUAUUGCAGAAAUUGUAAAAAAUUAUAGAUUGUUGUUUAUUUAUUUAAUUCUAUUCAUUUACCUAUUAUAUGAAAGUUGAAAUACAUUGUAUAAAAAUUAUAUUUAAGUAGAUGACUUAGUACUGUUUUAGACAAAAAUAUGUAUCAAAAUGUGAAACAACAUUUCAAGGAAGGCAUGUCGAGUCCAAAUAUAUACCCACUUUGUAGAUAAAUUGUAGAUUAUUUGUAUUCUAAUUGUAGAUGUUUUAUUUUUUAUUUUCACAAAUAAAAAUGACUAAAAUUUUUAUAAAUCAUAUGAAAAAUGAAAUUACGUCAAAAAUAUCAAUUAUGCUACAAUUGAAUGAGAAUUGGGAUAUUAAAAUUCAAUGUACCUAGUUUGUAGAUAAUUUGUAGAUUAUAUGUAUUCUGGUUGUAGGUGCUUGAUUUUCUGUUUUCACAAAUAAAAAACGACUAAGAAUUCUACAAAUCUGAUGCAAAAAAUGUAAUUAUGUCGAAAAUUCCAAUUAUACUACAAUUGAAUCGGAAUUGGGAUAUUAAAAUUUAAUGUACCCAAUUUGUCGAUAAAUUGUAGAUUAUAUAUAUUCUGAUUGUAGAUGCUUUAUUUUCUGUUUUCACAAAUCAAAAACGAUUAAAAGUGCUAUAAAUCUUCUGCAAAAAAUGCAAUUAUGUCAGAAAUUUCGAUUAUGCUACAAUUCUGUGAUUCUCCUAUAUGCUCUUGGUACUCCUUACGAAACUGCUACAUUAAAUAUGGAAUCCAAAAAAACAUGAUGAGCGGAUAGAUCUUCCUAAUUUUGUUGAUAAUUUGUAGAAACAUUGAAAUUUUAUAUUUUCAUAUUAAUUUUUAAAAUGAUAUGUAGUUUUGUUGUAGAUUAAAUGUAGAAAUAAGCCAUUAUAAGUCUUAUUUGACUCAUUCCUCACAUUCAACUUAUUAUACAUAUUCACGCCUCUUUAAAUGCAAUACAACUAUACUUUCUUGAAUUUAAAGGUAUAGCAAUAUAUAUAACUUAAAAAUAUCUUCUCGUUUAUACAAUUUAGCUCCAAAACAGACGAAGUGGAAUAACAAUCUCCCAUCAAAACUUCGAACACAAAAACACAAAGCUCAAAAAUAAAUAAACAACAGUCUAUAAUUUUUUACCAUUUUUCUACAAUUUAUCUACGAUUUCUGCAAUAUAAUAUAUGUUAUGUCUUCUUCUUCUUAUUCUUCUUCGAGUUUCAAUCUGAAAUUAAGCCAAAACCAAGUCUAAUCUUCAUUAAAACCUCUCAAAAUUAAGAUAUAAACUCCAAACCAUAUUCUCAAUUAUUUGCAACAACACCCAAUCCAAAUAUUUUUGAAAACCCAAAUUAGAAUCAAAGCUUCAACGCUUUUUAAUGGCGGCAAUGGUGGAAUUGCUGCUCUUUUUUCCUUUCCUCAUAUAUUACUGAAAUUUGGGAUUACGAGAUAGAAAGAGAAGUAGAGAGAAUUCUCAAUUCUUUGCAACAACAUCUAAUCCAAACAAACAAUAUCUUUUGAAAACCCUAAUUCAAGUUCAAAGCCUUAGCUAUGGAAGAAAUAGUGGAAUUUUGAUACAGAAAUCGUAGGUGUGGGAGGAAAACAUGGGUGAAGGUAUGAGAAUUGGAGAGAGAAAUAUGGGGAAGUGAUACUAGAAGAAAUAUACAGUACCAUUAAAUUAGGAGUAUAAUCAAUAUCCUUAAAACUCAUUACGGUAUGUAAUUGAUUAUUAAGUAUACAAAAUGUAAUUCUAUCAAAUUUUAAACAUUAACGAUAAUAUAAUUUCCUGUAUGGCAUAGAAAUACAAAAAUUCUUUUUUCCAAAUUAACUAUUUCUUGCAUUCUUUAGUCCGCACGGCCCAAAAGAAAGAAAAGAAAAGAACAAUUUCUAGAAAGAAAAAAAAGAAUAAUUAAGAUUUCAUUUUUUUUGGGUUUGGAAACCGGUGAUUUUAUUAAAAAAAUAUAUAUAACAUCUGGUUAUGUCAAGGGCAAUUCUUGAUAAUUAUCUCUCUUCUUUUGUCUAAUAUACUAAUUUAUUAUGAUAAGAAAUGUCUGCUAAUGACAUCUUAUUUUGUUUUACUUUUUUCAAAGAGGACAAGGGACGCUUAUGGUAGUAAAAUUGAGUUUGACAUCUUAUUUUGUUCCGCGUUAAUUGUUUUUACUUAUCAAAUAAAUUUGACAUUUUGUUUGAAUAAUUAAUGAUGAAAGCAAUUGUUAGUUGAAGUAAAGACACUCAUUUAGUAACAAAUACAGUAACUGUAUAGCUAAAAGAGAUAACGCAUCAGUAGGUUAAAAUAAUGUAAUUAACUUCAAAAUUUGAUUCUAACAUUUUUCAAAAAAAAGGAAACUAUUGAAAAUUGAAAAUUCAACAAAUGAAAGGUUCUUAUAAUUAGGGCAGUGCAUAAUUUAUAAAUACGAAUUACCAUAUUGAAACUUAAGUGAAAAUUUUGGUAUUUAGUAUUCGAUAUUUUGGUAUUCGGUAUAGUAUUUAGUUUAAAUUUUUAAAAAAUAUGGUAUUAGAUAUGGUAUUUGGUAUUCUAAAAAUACCGAUACCAUGCCGAAAUUAGGGGUGGGCGUCGGUCGCUUUAAUUCGGUUAUGAAUAUUAUCGGUUUAGCAUAUCUGUUUACAAAUUUGAUAAACCGAUACCCGAACUGAUAAGAUAUUGGUUAUCGGGUGUCGGUUAAUCGAUUAUCGAUCAUUAUCAGUUCAGUUAUCGGUUUAUCCGAUAAGAUAACUCUAUCUAGAGUUAAGCGAAAAAGAAAAGACAAUUUACUGGAUUUAAGCAAAAGAGAGAAGAAUUCACAUAUAGUUGUUACGAUCCCAAACCGGCCCGAUCGUGAUGACGCCUCUCAUGAAGACGAGGCCAGCCGACGCAACAAUUACAUUAACCAUUUAAUCCUUAAGAGUCAUAUUUUAAACAUUUAAUUAGGACAACAUUUCAUAAUAUAAGUCUAAAUAAAAUUGCGAAAAUAACAUACAAGCCCAACAUCGAGGUGUCACUAAUCAUGAGCAUCUAUCAAGGUCUGAAAAUAACAACGAGUCUAAAAUAAUGUACUAAAUACACUAAUAGCAAUAUGAGGAAAGAAGCGGUGCUGCUAACGUCAUGCAGCCACAUGUUGACUCUGAUGACUCCGCGUAUGAGCAAAUUAACACCCGCUACCGGGUUUCGAUAUACCUGUAUUUGCACACGAGGUGCAGGGAGUAAUAUGAGUACUUCAUCCCAGUAAGUAAUAAGAAUAAACAAAAACUGAGCAUUAGGAAAUAAUGAUUCCAUAUUCACAUUAGGCUCAAUAAACACAACAGGCUUUCAAAUCAUAAUACGAGUCAACCUUCCCUUUUAAAAUCCAGCUUUUAGUAGAAAUUAUUUUGAAGCACUUUCCAGCAAUUUCAGUAGGGUUCAAUAUCAUUUAAAAUGAUAAUAGAUAUUAAAGACAUAAUCGACCCCACAUGCAAAACAAUAAUAAUAAACACUUCAUAACUUGAAAUCUCUGUGGAAAUAGCCAAAUACCAAAUCAGUGAUUACUUUCUGAACAUCUCGUAAACCCCAAUUUAAAAAAAAUUGUUUUAAAAUAUUUGUUCAACCUUUCGACAGAGGCUCAAUAUAAAGAUGAAUGAAAAUAAUCAAUAAUCAACAUAUUCGAUAGAAACUCGCUUUUAGGAGGAGUGAAACCAAUAAGUUCAUAAACAGGACUUUCAGGAAAAAUAUCACUCAUGUGCAUGUAUAUAUAUCUAUCGCCCUUCGGGCUAGCCUCUCUAUACUCGUGACUCAUCUCUUACCAAAGAUUACUCACACUUAGCAUUCAUGCUCAGAAGGUACCAUAUGGUAACCGUUGCGGUGUGUAGCCCGAUCCAUAUAUCGUUGGGGUGUGUAGUCCGAUCCAUAUAUUUCGUCGAUAGCGCUCAUUAAGGGUGUGCAGACUCCAAGAGGGGCCCUUUACGGCCCAAGCGCAAUAUUGUUGCAGCGUGCAGCCCGACCGAACAUACCGCUGCGGCGUGCAGCCCGAUCCAUAUAAGUAUUGCUCGGCGUGCAGCCUGAUCCGCAUACAUACAUACAUACAUACACAUACAUACAUACAUACACAUACAUACAUACAUACACAUACAUACAUAUAUAUGGCCUCUCUCAGUCAUUAACCUCGCCAUCAGGCUCUCAGUCUAUCUCAGUAAAACAGGGAACUCAGCCCAAAACAGUUUUUACACUUUUAAGAAUAUUGCUAUAAAUCCAGAUUCAAGUAAUAACAGGCAAAAACAUGACUGAGGAUAUGGUAAAUAAAGACCUUAGCCAAAAGCAAGGGAUUCCCGGGGCCCGAACGAGAGCAGAGGCUGCAAGGUAGGUAUUCUCAAAAAAGAAAGAAACGAAAACAGGCAGGGAGGUAAGAGCGAGUAAGACUAGGUUAUAGCAAGACAACAGAGGUUAGAUAGCUCUUACCGGAGGAAGAGGGUUCAGGUCACCCGUCCCCUUGACCCAGACACGAACUAAUCCUUCUCUCUCUCGAAUGUAUGCCCGGUUUUCGUCGAAUCUUUUUGAUCACCUUCAAAAACAAACCGGAAUUCCGUCUUGACAUGAUAAAUAGUGAUGCCCACCUGCAGAGCGUAGUCCUCCCUGCAGCCUUGAAGUAGACUAUUUCUCGAGUCUGAUCUUAUCCCCAAAGCCUUUUUGCAAAAGGAGUAGGUAGCGAGAUA